AACCUCCCAGGAUCGCAUCUGGAGAAUGGCUUGUAUUCUGCCAGCUUCGGAGUCGGGAGAGAAAGCAAGCCUGGCAGAGGUACCCAUUCCAUUCCCAGUUUGCUCAGUAUCUGGUGAUUGGAAGACACUCUGCAACAAGA
RNAcentral lists this small nucleolar RNA (140 nucleotides) under Cervus hanglu yarkandensis (Yarkand deer). Lineage: Eukaryota; Metazoa; Chordata; Mammalia; Artiodactyla; Cervidae. The record is from RNAcentral.